AAAUUGAAGAGUUUGAUCAUGGCUCAGAUUGAACGCUGGCGGCAGGCCUAACACAUGCAAGUCGAACGGUAAUAGGAAGCAGCUUGCUGCUUCGCUGACGAGUGGCGGACGGGUGAGUAAUGUCUGGGAAACUGCCUGAUGGAGGGGGAUAACUACUGGAAACGGUGGCUAAUACCGCAUAACGUCGCAAGACCAAAGAGGGGGACCUUCGGGCCUCUUGCCAUCAGAUGUGCCCAGAUGGGAUUAGCUUGUUGGUGAGGUAACGGCUCACCAAGGCGACGAUCCCUAGCUGGUCUGAGAGGAUGACCAGCCACACUGGAACUGAGACACGGUCCAGACUCCUACGGGAGGCAGCAGUGGGGAAUAUUGCACAAUGGGCGCAAGCCUGAUGCAGCCAUGCCGCGUGUAUGAAGAAGGCCUU
Molecule: ribosomal RNA, 421 nt
Filed under: Salmonella enterica
Lineage: Bacteria; Pseudomonadati; Pseudomonadota; Gammaproteobacteria; Enterobacterales; Enterobacteriaceae
Description: bacterial SSU rRNA
Rfam family: Bacterial small subunit ribosomal RNA
Source: RNAcentral